Molecule: long non-coding RNA, 366 nt
Filed under: Mytilus galloprovincialis (Mediterranean mussel)
Lineage: Eukaryota; Metazoa; Mollusca; Bivalvia; Mytilida; Mytilidae
Source: RNAcentral
CUCCAUUAGAAAUUUGAAUUGAGAUCAGUUUUGGAAAAAGGGAAAGGGGGAUGAGAAAAAAACUGGGGGGGGGGAUAAAUUUUUCUCAUUUCAGAUUUCAUAAAUAAAAAGAAAAUUUCUUCAAACAUUUUUUUGAGAGGAUUAAUAUUCAACAGCAUAGUGAAUUGCUCAAAGGAAAAAAAAGUAUUUUAAGUUCAUUAGACCACAUUCAUUCUGUGUCAGAAACCUAUGCUGUGUCAACUAUUUAAUCACAAUCCAAAUUUAGAGCUGAAUCCAGCUUGAAUGUUGUGUCCAUACUUGCCCCAACCGUUCAGGGUUCAACCUCUGCGAUCGUAUAAAGCUGCGCCCUGCGGAGCAUCUGGUUUU